AGAGACACCUUUCCUGGGAAGAGAGCUGACAACCUUCUGUGGUAAGGGGUGAACAUCCUUGGGAAGCCACAGAGAGCAAGGCGCAGUUUUUCAUUGAUCACCACUUUCAAGAUGCUCCCAGAAUCGUGCUGUCUAGGAAGCCAUUUAAACUGGUGAGAAGCCAUCCUCUCUUGAAUGGGGGCUCCCACUGUACAUCUGGCACCCACUUCACAGAUUCUGGGGGAUGUCAACACCAGCACUGCUGAGCUGUGUGACCUUGAGCAAGACAGUUAGCCUCUCUGAACCUCAGUGUCCUUCUCUGUAGGCUGGAGAUUGAUAUACCUUCAUUAUCGGGGUAUGAGAGUGUUAUAAGGUGGGAUGGUGGAACACGCUGACUGGUCUGGGCUAUUCAAGAUCCAUGAACUGGAAGAUGCUUUCUUAUAACUCAGAGAAAAGAGAUGAAAAUGAAUCAAAGAACAGGAAGGAGACAAGCUCAGGAGAGUCACCCUAAGAAGGAUGUGUGGAAGACUUGACUGGAGGAUCAAAAUGUGUCGGGGGAAGGUGUACAAGGAGGAGUAAGGACACAGAUGUCCUGACUUCACACAGUGGGGGAUUAGAAGCCACCAUCAAACACAGAUGAAACAGGAAUAAAAGUAGUAGUACAUUACUUAAGCUUUAAAAGGGUAAGACUCCUGGGAAUUUGGAAGCUGAGACUUGAGGAGCAGAGGCAUUUAGCUGUGUAAACACAGAGCUUCAGUGGCAGCACCCUAAAUGCUUAGCUGAUAGAUCCGGAAUUAAAUACAGACCUAGAAACUGGAGUUGGAAAACUUCCUGGCAGCACUCCUUCCCUGCCAUCCCGGUGAUCCCCUUCUGGAUGGAGGGUGUGGAGCUCAGCACAUUCACGUCUGCAGUUCUCAGAGAACCAAGUGUUAAGGAAUGUCAGGGAAGGAAGAAGGCAGCCAGCCAGGAAGGGGAGGUCCUGGCCUGAGCACGCCAGGCACAGAGGGAUAGAGGGUAGGGAGGAAACUGCACCUGUCUCCAACCCUCGACCCCAGCCCCGAAACACGACAUUGGCUGAAACAGAUUAAAAGCAUAAAAUGGCCCAAAGAAAUGGGAGAAGGUUGGCCUCUGGUCGGGCAAACAUGAGGGCAUGAAGAUAUAUAAUGUCCCACACGGGAGGAAACCCUUGCCGGGCCCCUCAGGAUUUAUAACAAGCUCACCUGAAGGAGAAACUUCAGGGGCACUUACACCAUCAGAUACCUAGAAAGGAGCUGUCAUUUCCUCACUGAAGAGUUUGCAAGCAGAUGGUAAAAGGGGUUUAAUUUGAAAACACUGAAACAUCGUGUUCGCUCAAAACCAUGACAAUUGCAGUUUUAUUGUCUCCACUCAGGAAAAUGUGUGUCUGGAUCAUCUUGUGGCCCGAAUGGGGAGAAAAGAUGCAGUAUUCCAAAGCAGGAGAUUCACUGAAAAAGAUGUUUAAGAAGUUGCUGAUGAAGAAAAGUUCAGGAUUCACAGCUCCAUACAAAGGGAAUAGCCACUUUUCUCAUUUUGAGAUAUGACUACUAACAAGUAUUAUUCUGCAUCUUCAGCCAGGCUGUGGAAGGCCCCAUUCUUUCUGUAACACAGAUGUUCAAUUGGAAUU
RNAcentral lists this long non-coding RNA (1621 nucleotides) under Homo sapiens (human). Its description in RNAcentral is "long intergenic non-protein coding RNA 1837". The record is from RNAcentral. Lineage: Eukaryota; Metazoa; Chordata; Mammalia; Primates; Hominidae.